This 521-nucleotide ribosomal RNA is filed under the name uncultured bacterium. RNAcentral describes it as "bacterial SSU rRNA". It matches the Rfam family "Bacterial small subunit ribosomal RNA", at positions 988 to 1509 of the family's 1533-position model. The record is from RNAcentral.
CCAGCGAACUUAGCAGAGAUGCUUUGGUGCCUUCGGGAACGCUGAGACAGGUGCUGCAUGGCUGUCGUCAGCUCGUGUUGUGAAAUGUUGGGUUAAGUCCCGCAACGAGCGCAACCCUUAUCCUUUGUUGCCAGCGGUUCGGCCGGGAACUCAAAGGAGACUGCCAGUGAUAAACUGGAGGAAGGUGGGGAUGACGUCAAGUCAUCAUGGCCCUUACGAGUAGGGCUACACACGUGCUACAAUGGCGCAUACAAAGAGAAGCGACCUCGCGAGAGCAAGCGGACCUCAUAAAGUGCGUCGUAGUCCGGAUUGGAGUCUGCAACUCGACUCCAUGAAGUCGGAAUCGCUAGUAAUCGUAGAUCAGAAUGCUACGGUGAAUACGUUCCCGGGCCUUGUACACACCGCCCGUCACACCAUGGGAGUGGGUUGCAAAAGAAGUAGGUAGCUUAACCUUCGGGAGGGCGCUUACCACUUUGUGAUUCAUGACUGGGGUGAAGUCGUAACAAGGUAAGCGUAGACGU